AGAGUUUGAUCAUGGCUCAGAUUGAACGCUGGCGGCAGGCCUAACACAUGCAAGUCGAGCGGUAGCACAGAGAGCUUGCUCUCGGGUGACGAGCGGCGGACGGGUGAGUAAUGUCUGGGAAACUGCCUGAUGGAGGGGGAUAACUACUGGAAACGGUAGCUAAUACCGCAUAACGUCGCAAGACCAAAGUGGGGGACCUUCGGGCCUCAUGCCAUCAGAUGUGCCCAGAUGGGAUUAGCUAGUAGGUGGGGUAACGGCUCACCUAGGCGACGAUCCCUAGCUGGUCUGAGAGGAUGACCAGCCACACUGGAACUGAGACACGGUCCAGACUCCUACGGGAGGCAGCAGUGGGGAAUAUUGCACAAUGGGCGCAAGCCUGAUGCAGCCAUGCCGCGUGUGUGAAGAAGGCCUUCGGGUUGUAAAGCACUUUCAGCGGGGAGGAAGGCGNUCGAUUGACGUUACCCGCAGAAGAAGCACCGGCUAACUCCGUGCCAGCAGCCGCGGUAAUACGGAGGGUGCAAGCGUUAAUCGGAAUUACUGGGCGUAAAGCGCACGCAGGCGGUCUGUCAAGUCGGAUGUGAAAUCCCCGGGCUCAACCUGGGAACUGCAUUCGAAACUGGCAGGCUAGAGUCUUGUAGAGGGGGGUAGAAUUCCAGGUGUAGCGGUGAAAUGCGUAGAGAUCUGGAGGAAUACCGGUGGCGAAGGCGGCCCCCUGGACAAAGACUGACGCUCAGGUGCGAAAGCGUGGGGAGCAAACAGGAUUAGAUACCCUGGUAGUCCACGCCGUAAACGAUGUCGAUUUGGAGGUUGUGCCCUUGAGGCGUGGCUUCCGGAGCUAACGCGUUAAAUCGACCGCCUGGGGAGUACGGCCGCAAGGUUAAAACUCAAAUGAAUUGACGGGGGCCCGCACAAGCGGUGGAGCAUGUGGUUUAAUUCGAUGCAACGCGAAGAACCUUACCUGGUCUUGACAUCCACAGAACUUAGCAGAGAUGCUUUGGUGCCUUCGGGAACUGUGAGACAGGUGCUGCAUGGCUGUCGUCAGCUCGUGUUGUGAAAUGUUGGGUUAAGUCCCGCAACGAGCGCAACCCUUAUCCUUUGUUGCCAGCGGUUAGGCCGGGAACUCAAAGGAGACUGCCAGUGAUAAACUGGAGGAAGGUGGGGAUGACGUCAAGUCAUCAUGGCCCUUACGACCAGGGCUACACACGUGCUACAAUGGCAUAUACAAAGAGAAGCGACCUCGCGAGAGCAAGCGGACCUCAUAAAGUAUGUCGUAGUCCGGAUUGGAGUCUGCAACUCGACUCCAUGAAGUCGGAAUCGCUAGUAAUCGUAGAUCAGAAUGCUACGGUGAAUACGUUCCCGGGCCUUGUACACACCGCCCGUCACACCAUGGGAGUGGGUUGCAAAAGAAGUAGGUAGCUUAACCUUCGGGAGGGCGCUUACCACUUUGUGAUUCAUGACUGGGGUGAAGUCGUAACAAGGUAACCGUAGGGGAACCUGCGGUUG
Molecule: ribosomal RNA, 1503 nt
Filed under: Klebsiella quasipneumoniae
Lineage: Bacteria; Pseudomonadati; Pseudomonadota; Gammaproteobacteria; Enterobacterales; Enterobacteriaceae
Description: bacterial SSU rRNA
Rfam family: Bacterial small subunit ribosomal RNA
Source: RNAcentral